GUCAUUGGAGUCAUUAAGGGUACGUAACUAGGGUACAUAACUAGGGUAUUGGAGUCAUUAAGGGUACGUAACUGGGGUAUUGGAGUCAUUAAGAGUACAUAACUACGGUAUUGGGAGUAAUUAAGGGUACAUAACUAGGGUAUUGGAGUCAUUAAGGGAUAUGUAACUAGGGUAUUGGAGUAAUUAAGGGUACGUAACUAGGGUAUUGGAGUCAUUAAGGGUACUCAUUAAGGGUACGUAACUAGGGUAUUGGAGUCAUUAAGGGUACGUAACUAGGGUAUUGGAGUAAUUAAGGGUACGUAACUAGGGUAUUGGAGUAGUUAAGGGAACGUAACUAGGGUAUUGGAGUAAUUAAGGGUACAUAACUAGGGUAUUGAAGUCAUUGGAGUCAUUAAGGGUACGUAACUUGGGUAUUGGAGUAAUUAAGGGUACAUAACUAGGGUAUUGGAGUCAUUGGAGUCAUUAAGGGUACGUAACUAGGGUACAUAACUAGGGUAUUGGAGUCAUUAAGGGUACGUAAC
This is a long non-coding RNA of Oncorhynchus tshawytscha (Chinook salmon), 521 nucleotides long. The record is from Ensembl. Lineage: Eukaryota; Metazoa; Chordata; Actinopteri; Salmoniformes; Salmonidae.